GGGCCCGCACAAGCGGUGGAGCAUGUGGUUUAAUUCGAUGAUACGCGAGGAACCUUACCAGGGCUUAAAUGUAGUCUGACAGGGGUGGAAACACCCCCUCCUUCGGGCAGAUUACAAGGUGCUGCAUGGUUGUCGUCAGCUCGUGCCGUGAGGUGUCAGGUUAAGUCCUAUAACGAGCGCAACCCCUGCCGUUAGUUGCCAGCAUGUAAUGAUGGGAACUCUAACGGGACUGCCGGUGCAAACCGCGAGGAAGGUGGGGAUGACGUCAAAUCAUCACGGCCCUUACGUCCUGGCUACACACGUGCUACAAUGGCCGGUACAGAGGGCAGCCACACCGCAAGGUGGAG
This 347-nucleotide ribosomal RNA is filed under the name uncultured bacterium. RNAcentral's name for it is "bacterial SSU rRNA". It matches the Rfam family "Bacterial small subunit ribosomal RNA", at positions 917 to 1267 of the family's 1533-position model. The record is from RNAcentral.